CACCCCAGGUAACCACGUACAUAGAAUGCCACACCAAAAUACACUCAAAAACUAAGUCCUAAAAUUAUUAGAAAUUUCGGCAGAGUCUCCCCUAAAAAUACGGACAUCACGACAGGCAGUUAUAAGAAAGGUCAAUACCGAUAUAAACCACACAAUCCAAACCAUCCUAGUGUAGACCCCCGAUUUUGGAAAUCGGAAAUCUUCUGUGUUUAUCCGUACCAAUCCCUGGAUCAGUAGUUGGUACACACAUACAUAGUUGGAUCACAACAUAUCACGAAUGAAUUUAGACUAAAAGAGUUAAAUACUUACAUUAGGGCCAGGUAGGCCAACAACUAUCAGAGAACAACAGCGGAAGACAAAAUAAUAUAAGGGCCCGGUUAACAUGCCACAGGCAGUCGACUGGGGAACGAGACCUAGAACAAGACCGCACUCCGAUCAUCUUGUGGGAUACGCAAGCGUACCGACAAGGGCUUCUCUUCAACACUCUCCUAAAAGAUAUAUAAAUAGCAAGGGUGAGUACCAACCGUACUCAGCAAGCCACCACAACAACAAUGCAUAUGAUAGAGGGUAUUUCAAGGAAUGGCUUCAGGUUCUUUUGGAUAAAGCUAAUUUUACAAUUCUUUUCACAAGCCUAAAACCUAGCAUAGACUGAUCAAAUUUUAGUACCAGUGUUCACUUUAAACAACGACGGUUCUGUCCACCAUCCAUUGUGAUCCCAAGGAUAGCUUCCCGCCAUUGAAUCGUCAUGGUUUUCUGAGGAUGUCCACCUUCCCUCCUCUCGGGAAGUGGCUCCAUCAGCAUAAAAUUCAUCAUGCAAUAUCCCAUUCCCCACAAGUUAAGAAUUUAGAGUCUAGCCAAGUGUAAUACAUGUCCCGGUGCUCAAUAACCGCGAGCACGGCUAUUCGAAUAGAUUUGGUUUACUCACACUGCAGUGGAUGUACACUUUACCCGCACUCCGCGACUGCCCAACACAUGAGCCUCGUCCCAACACAUGAGACGCGUCACGGCAAAGCUUUUCGAUAACCUCGCAUUGGCAGUACCCGCUCCAUGAACUUAAAUCCUCAUGCACUCUAGGCGUCCAUGUUUCUAGCAGUGAGAGGAGUUCUGGCGCUCCCGGGAAAGAGAAGUCUCACACGCAUAUUAAAUUAUGGUUCAAGUUAAGUUCUCUCUCUCACACACUCAUGACAGUCCUACCAAUGGCGACACCGAUGUAGGGCACGCCUCUCGGCCCUACCUCAACGGCUGUCCCAUUGUAGCGCACCUGUCUCACUCAGGGGUGAACCAUCUAUGCAGGGAUACUGCCUCCGCUCGGCUAUCUAAUCCGCUAGGUCUAUACCCAUUCGAGAAGUACGGUUGUACGGGGGUCGUUUCAUGCUUAACUUCAUGGCUCGGUCCUUAAUUGACCAGGGACGGUACUAGCCUUUUCCAGAUACCACCCAAAUCCUCCGUCCGCCCCAGUCGAAAACAGUUGUUUAAUUUUAUUUCUCCUUUCACAAAUCAUGUCAUCAACAUCAUGGCAAUGUGGCGCUCAUGUCUCCACAUGCCGCAUCUCAAUUACCUUCCCAAAGGUAAUUGCCCAAGCAUAUAGCAUUUGAUAAAUAUGAGUAUGCAUGAUUCUAGAAUGGCAUUUCUAAGCAAUUGUCAUAAUUGACUAGGGACUCAUACGUAAUCAUGGUUACAAGGAUUUUAAGGGUAAACAAUAAUCAAGGCAUGGCAUAAUCACAAGUAGGAUGUUCAUCAUUGCAUGAAAUUUUAUUUGUAAACAAAACAAUUUCGCAAUUAGGAUCAACAUGUUCAAGGAAUAGUGAUGACUUGCCUUGCUCAGGAUAAUCCUUAUUAUUGCUAUAAUCUUGAUCAACCUUCACCUCCUGUAAGUUGCAGACGUUGCCUCACGACUAACCGAUACACAAGGUCUAUAAUACGCGAGAAAAACCAAUAUUCAAACAACAAUCAAAUAUGCGCAACAAAAUGUACUACUUCGUGUUUGCUAAUGGAUCCCAAUCAUGCUAAGGCUAAAGUUUCUUAAUCUUUCUAUUGUCAUCGUGGCCUAUUUAGGAGUUAACCAACAUAGCAUUUAUGGGAUACAUAUAUAUUUGGCUAAUCAGUGGUUUAGUCUAUCAAAUGGCUAUGGAAGGAUUUUGGCUAUGUACGCAUCUAUCUAAAUAGGACGGUUAUAUACUAGAGGUUCUGUUGCUAGAUGGAUUUAGGAUCAAUCAAACAAUUACAGUGAUUCAUUUGUAUUAUUUAUUUUAUUGAUGGAAGCUUUACUUUAAUUAUGAACAUAUUUUACUUGCCAUUAUAAAUUAUAAAAGGGCUAAUAAUUAUCCCUGCUCUAUAUGUUAAAUUCGGGAAGUUUAUAAUAUUAUAUUUACAGAUUAUCUCUUAAUGAACAAUCCGGAUUUACAAUUGAACUAUGAACAUAUGAGGUCAAGAUUUAUAAUUAGUACUUAUCUAAUAUACAUGUUUGUCAAAAGAUGGGUUAUUGUUCCUAUGUAUGAUUUUAAAUGGAUUGUACAGUAUAUGUGAUCUAAGUGGGUUGACAAGUGAUUUUACUGUUUGGGUAAUUAUUGGAUGUUAACCGACUCAACCUUAUUUGGGUGGUUCUAUCAUAACAACUCUGUUCCUAUUCCUCAUAAAUAAAUUAAAGACUCAUCUAUGUGUAUUCAUGUUUGAUUUACCUAAUUAUAAGGCUAACUUUACUAUUUAAAUAAUCUAUAAGUCAUGGGUUUAAUAAUACAACCAUUACAUAGUGCUAGUAUCUUCCAAUACAUUAGUUUGAGACAUUAUUUAAAAUUAGUUUGUGUGGUUGUUACAGUGACAAAGCAUGUUAAAGGCCUAUAUCAUUACAUCUACUCUAUUGUACAUUAUCAAAUCUAUUUAUUAGCACAUUUUUAAGUUGACUACUAUGCAUCAUCUUGAUAUUAAUUAUUUAGUAAUUAAUAAUAUAUUUUCUUAAAUAAUGAAUUAUAUACCAUUGGAAAGCUUAUGAAUUUAGAUGAAUUUAGGAUCAAGUUUCAUUCAAAUCGGAGUUAAAAUGAAUAAGUUAUGCUAGUGUAAGGAUUCAAAUUCGAAUAAUUGCGAAACAGUACUGUUCACAUCCGAUUUAUUUUAAUCCGAAACCUAUCUACAGCUCAGAGUCACUGACGGGUGGGGUCAGGGGUCUUAUUAUCUUUUCUACCGAAUUAUUUUUGUUAGAGAAAAAUGGGGAGUGGGCCCGGCUUGUCAGUGGCUCGGCUGCUCUCUUUCUCUCUCUCGUUCUUUUCCUAUCGUCUUCUACCUCCAGACCGUGCGGGAGCAGCAGGGGCGGCGCAGCGCGCGCGGCAAGGCCGGCGGAGGGCGACCCGACGGCGACCAGGGGAGGGAGCGGCAAGGCUCCGGCGUCCACCUGCCGGCGGUCACGGCGUAGGACGGCGCGGGGGCGAGCAGCGCCGCACGGCCGCCAUGGCCGGGCACGGGUAGCUAGGUGCUAGGGCGAUACGGAGGGUUUCCGACCAAAUUGGUGCGGGCGUGAGCAUCUAUGACGUGUGAGGGUUCCAUUUUACUUAUUAGAUGGCUAGGAAGAGCUCCGGGAUGGCUUGUCCACGGCAAGCUCGCCGGCGGCAUAAUGGUGGCCGGGCCAGCACGGCUACGGGCGCUAGUCGCCGAAAUUGAAGGAGGCUCGAGUUUCUACGGAACCAGGAGAGACCUGAGGAGCGUGGACUUACCGAUAGACGGCGGGACGACGAAGAUCGGGUGCAGUGGUGGAGCGGAGAAGAAGGUGCAGCACGCCCACAAGAUGCUCGAUGAAAUGUAUCCGAGGAAGAAGAAAAGGAAGAGAGGGGAGGACGAGCUCGUGGGGGCUGGGAGGUGUGGGGAGGGAAGGGGAGGCAUGGGUUUAUAUAGGGGGCGGAGGGGAGAGGUGGCCGGUGCAGUGAUGGCGGAUGGGACGCGCGCGGCGUGCGGGGCUCGAGGCGAGCGGCGACGGGACAUGAGCGCAGGCGCAGCGCGGGGCUCGGCGCGAUGAUGGCGACGGCGCAGCAGCUGACGGCAGCGGCGCGGGGCUCGAGACGAGCGGUGACGCGACGGCGACACGCGGCGACGCGACGGUGACGGCGACAGCGCGACGGCGGCGCGGGGCUCGGCGCGGCGAGAACGACGGCGACGCAGCAGCGGCGCGAUGGGACGGCACGCGGCGCGGCAGUGCACGGGGCGCGAGGGCGCGUAGGCGGCAGAGGGAGGUGGGACGGGCGCGCGGCGGGGCAGGGGCGCGGGGCGCGAGGCGACGACGUGACGGCGACGACGAUGGCGCGCGGGGCUCAAGGCGGCGACGGCGACUGCUCGACGGCGACGGCGAUGGCGCGCGGCGCGGGGCGCGAGCUGGCGCGCGGCAGCGGCGCGGGCGACGACGAUGGCGACACGAGCGGCAUCAGGCAGGAGGAGGAGGAGGGCUAGGACGGCUAGGAACCAAAUCGAACACCUAGGGUGCUAAUGAACAGUGCUAGCCGGCUAUUUAACCCUAUUUUAGCAUAUUUCCUAUAUAAAUUUUAUUCUAUAAAUCCUAAUUUUUACACAAAUGAAGUUUACUCAAUAUUUGUGUUAUUCUAACCAAUGGAUUCACCCUAGAUUAAUAUUACCCAUAUUUAUUUAUUUAUCGCACAAAUGAAUUCUUUUUAGAUUAAUUUGAGUUAUUGGCCCUAAGGUGAACUUGUAUAUUUUUGAAGACUUUGGGGUACUAUUACAUUUAAUAUAUCGACUUGUCAUGAUUAAUACAUUAGCAGAUUGGUCAAGUUUAGUUGUAUAGCAAUAUAUUUUACACGGAUAGGUUCAAUCUAUUUAUUCUAUAAAUAGUAAAUUGAGACUCGGUACAAUAUCAAUCUAAUUGUUUAAUUAAAACUCACAUAUUCUUAUUUAUAUAUAAGCUUAAUGUAUUUAUAUGACCAUCAUUUUAUAUGAGUGAAUUUUAUGCCCAGAAAGAUAUGUUAAAUAUUAAUGUAAGUAUUCCAAUGAAAUACUCAUCUACAAAUAGGAUUACUAUAGUGGUGAUCAUCAUUUCAUGUGGAUAGGUUGUCCUUUUAAAUCGGUUUUACCUCUAUAUGAAUCAUUAUAUUUUAAUAUUUGACCUAUAAAUUAAAUUAGUAAUUAACCUUCUCUUUGUAUGGCUUUGUUGUGGUGCGUAAUUAUUUAUAGAGUUCAUAAUAAAUAUCUUAUUUUUAUAAUUGUUACUCAGUUGUAUAGCUUUAGCUUAAUUUUCAGUGGUGACAAUUUAUAGUUCGGCAAGCAAUAACAACCAUAACUUCCAGCAUGAUGCAAAAGUUUUAAAAAGUUCAAAAUUUUAGUGAUUUUUAUUGUCUUGAAUUUUCAGGAUGUUACACCUAGCUCCACAAAUCCCACGUGAAAAAUAAAGAUCAGAACCUUAAAUGACCUUUACAAGUUCUAUGCAAAACUUAUGCUGAGCAAAAAUUAUAGUCUAAAACUAAUUUCAAUUGUGUGCAAUAAUAAUGUGUAGUCCAAGGGUGCUACUCCCGCCCCAUGCCGAUCGAUGUCAUUAGGUAUCUAAAAACCAAAUUAAACACAAGAGUGAGUAAAGAAUACUCAGCAAGUACAAUCUUGAACUAGUAAAACAUACGCAUGAUUUAUGCAUUAAGAAACCAACAUGAAGGGUUGGAUUUACUUUAUUUUUAAACAAAAGAAGUCAAAAGAUAGUAGUUCCCUCCCGGGCAGGUGUGAAUAUCCUCUUAGCAUUACCGGUAAGCCGAGCAAGCGUGAUCAGCGCUUCUCAAGGAUCAUGAAUAAAGAUCCAAAUUGCACUCCCAUGGCUACGCAUGGUUCUUGAAUAAUGUAAACAGAACAUCCGGAAUAAUGAAACAUGAAUUUGAAUAUGGGUCGAAACACGAAUAACUAGCAUAACGUCAUAGCCAUACAAUCAGUAAUAACAAGCAAUUGAAUAAUAAUUAUGCAAGUAAAGCCAAACAAAACAACUCAGUUUUGUCCAUCAUAUAAGUCCGUCUUGUACUUGCCUUAACUCAUUCGAUACUCCGACUCAACUCCUCCAACGUUGGAACCCUCCACACCUGUGGAGCAAAACUACGCAUAAACCACUAUAUUCAACUAAUGAUGGUUACAAGGGAUAUUUAGUAAAAUCGAAACCUAGAACAUAUAAACCUUUUACCGAUUUGUAUUAAAUAACCUAUAGCUGUUCCAUUACUGUUUUAUGAGUAACUCACAAACCGUCUAACGGAAACUAGCAAAUAAUACAACUUCGGACAUCUAGACAAAAUUGUCUACAACUUUCAUGUUGAGCACAAAAUCAGAUUAUGCCUCUGAAAAUCCCACAUUAAGGAAAAACGAACUGCUGUCCUGAUUUCCGGACCCGGUCAGCAGUACUGUUUUUGCUGUUUCUCCUAAACCGUUGAUCGGAAUCGAGUGAAACUAGCAGCGUUGGAAAGAUAUUGACAAUGACUACAAACUUUAUUUAGGACAACUAACCUGAUUCCUGAUGGUUUAAUACCAGAUUUGAAAAUACGGUUUCAGCCUAGCGUUCGAUAUAAAAUAAAUUCGAAAAAACCGGAAACAGAUCGUCUUAAAUAUAAAUUAGAAACAACUAUAGACUAAAACGGAUUACCUAGCAGUACUAAUGUAUAAGAAAAACGAAGAAUUUGGAAAUAUUCACCAAAUUCCCCAAAUUUCCCUUCUUCUAUCAAAUUUCCCCUUCUUUCCUUCCUUCCUGUUCUUCUCUGCCUUCUCUCCCUCCUUCCUGUUCGUUGCAGGCCAACAGCAGCAGCAGCAGAAACGAAUAUCGGCAGCAACAGCAAGCCGUACACCACCACCAAGGAAGAGAUCAGAUCGACAAUAGCAGGGUUCGGCAGCAGCAGGGAAAUUAACAGAAACAACAGUAGCUCACCAACGACCGGCUGCGGACGACGACGGCUGUGGCGACCGGCGAUGGCUGCACCAGCGGCGGCGCCGGCGAAGAGAGGAACAGCAGCGGCGGCGGCAGAGCGCAGGAGGUGCGGCGGCUAGGGCUACAGGAGAAUCGCUCCUGUUUCUUUUUUUUUCGUUUGUUUUUUU
This 7047-nucleotide long non-coding RNA is filed under the name Oryza sativa (Asian cultivated rice). RNAcentral's name for it is "long non-coding RNA (OSAT_LNC000688)". The record is from RNAcentral. Lineage: Eukaryota; Viridiplantae; Streptophyta; Magnoliopsida; Poales; Poaceae.